RNAcentral lists this ribosomal RNA (468 nucleotides) under uncultured bacterium. Its description in RNAcentral is "partial 16S ribosomal RNA". It matches the Rfam family "Bacterial small subunit ribosomal RNA", at positions 28 to 507 of the family's 1533-position model. The record is from RNAcentral.
GACGAACGCUGGCGGCGUGCUUAACACAUGCAAGUCGAACGGAAAGGCCCUGCUUUUGUGGGGUGCUCGAGUGGCGAACGGGUGAGUAACACGUGAGUAACCUGCCCUUGACUUUGGGAUAACUUCAGGAAACUGGGGCUAAUACAGGAUAGGAGCUCCUGCUGCACGGUGGGGGUUGGAAAGUUUCGGCGGUUGGGGAUGGACUCGCGGCUUAUCAGCUUGUCGGUGGGGUAGUGGCUUACCAAGGCUUUGACGGGUAGCCGGCCUGUGAGGGUGACCGGCGACAUUGGGACUGAGAUACGGCCCAGACGCGUACGGGAGGCAGCAGUGGGGAAUAUUGCACAAUGGGCGGAAGCCUGAUGCAGCAACGCCGCGUGCGGGAUGACGGCCUUCUGGUUGUAAACCGCUUUCGCCUGUGACGAAGCGUGAGUGACGGUAAUGGGUAAAGAAGCACCGGCUAACUACGUG